AGCGCUCUGUAAAAUGCACCAAUCAGCAGGAUUCUAAAAGUAGCCAAUCGUGGGGAGGACUGAAAAAAGCACCCUCUGAUAGGACAGAAACAGAACAUGGGAGGGGACAAAUAACAGAAUAAAUGCUGGCCACCCCAGCCAGUAGCAGCAACCCGCUCCGGUCCCCUUCCAUACUGUGGAAGCUUUGUCCUUUUGCUCUUCACAAUAAAUCUUGCUACCAAUCACUUUUUGGGGCCACGCCAUCUUUAAGAGCUGUAACACUCACUGCAAAGGUCCGAAGCUUCAUUCUUGAAGUCAGCAAGACCACGAACCCACUGGCAGGAACCAACUCUGGACACACUGGGAGCAACAAGAAAGUUACGUGUGCUCAGUUCAAGUUUCUCUCUCUUUUUGUAGAGAUUGGGGUCUCGCUAUAUUGUCCAGGAUGGUCUUGAACUCCUCCCCUCAAGCAAUCCUCCCACCUUGGCCUCCCAAAGAGUUGGAAUUACAAGCAUGAGCCACGGCACCCGGCCUUCAAGUUUCUUUUUUUUUCCUGAGAUGGAGUCCUGUUGGGAUUCGAUCAGGCUAGUUGGAAAAAUAUUAGUUAUGAUAGCCACAAAAUCCUUUUGGAAGGCCUGAGGGUUUUCGUAUGACUUUGGUAAUAGACCAGGCUGAAGGCGGCCUGGUCCCAUUACCUUUAGUUAAAUAAAUUAGAGUAGUCAACAACGGGAUGUGGGGAAGUUAUCUAGUUAACUUGUUCACUCACGUGGUCUUAAGCCUUAAGCCUUUGAUGUAUGCUUCUCACUCAGGAAGUCCACAAUGUCAAUUACCCUCUAAUGGUGUUGACUCAAGUUUUUGUUAACUAUUUUUAAUGAAUUAAUGCAAGCCUGCCCAGCUGAGGCCGGCCGCAGUGACAAACCUCUCUUGGUGUGCAGGUGGGUCGGACACUCAGCAGGACUGGCAACACAGAAUAUCUGUGUGUCAAUGUACAUGUUAUUCAUCCAUCGUUUGGGUCAGGGUCUGUGGGCAGACCCCCGCAGCUAACGCCCUCUUGUGAGGAGCAAUACCUCAAUUGGUGCCCCGUGUGAGGAAAGUCAGCGGUCUGCGGAAACAGACCCCCCACAGUUGGAGCCCCUUGUGAGGCAAGCUGUGAAGGAAGUGUGAAGAACGCGAUGGACCCCCGAAAAAGAAGGUGAAGAAGGACCACGCGGUCAAGUCAGUGAGUAAUCAGAUGCAAAGCCGGAAUAAGAGCAGUGACCACCUCGCCUGACAAACCUGUGGCUGCACCUAUCUGCGCUCUCCAAUCAAAAAAUUUGAUGUAGCAAACAAAAAAGGGGGAGAUGUUGGGAUUCGAUCAGGCAGCUGGUGAUCCAGAGGUCUCAUGGCAGAAUGAAGGAAUUUACCAAAGCCAAGCCCUUUGACUCUGGGCCUAUCUAUUUCUUUGAUCAGUUGAAACCUGAACGGAAAGAUGGGAAAAGAUAACCUGUGAAGAAAGUUAUCCCACCCAAAAUGCACCUCAAGAGCUAAGUGUAGGUUGGAUCUUUCAACAUCCUUACUCAAAAUGGGAAAUUCUGAAGUGGAAGACAGUCCCCAGUAUAGCUGUGAAGAGACUACAAGUAGCCAUAAUUCAAAUCAAAAUAGAAGAAGCAAAGCAAAAAAAAGAGGGCGUCAACAAACAACUUAUCCGGCGCCGCUAUGAGGACCUGGAAGGCGUGGAGGAGAGCAGGGAUCAGCAGUGCUCACAGAGUUUCUGGCUGGAGCUGCUGGAGAAGAAGCCUCAGAUGCCAAUUGUCAAAAAGGCUGACCCCAACAUGAAAAAAUUCCAUUACGCU
Molecule: long non-coding RNA, 1811 nt
Organism: Homo sapiens (human)
Lineage: Eukaryota; Metazoa; Chordata; Mammalia; Primates; Hominidae
Exons: 7
Source: RefSeq, a predicted model, not a curated record